RNAcentral lists this long non-coding RNA (489 nucleotides) under Elaeis guineensis (African oil palm). RNAcentral describes it as "long non-coding RNA (EGUI_LNC067758)". The record is from RNAcentral. Lineage: Eukaryota; Viridiplantae; Streptophyta; Magnoliopsida; Arecales; Arecaceae.
CAACCCUGAUGAUAUCAUCCGAAUUAUGCUCAACUCAAUUAGUCCUGUGACUCCUCACUAGGACUACCCUGGCCAAAGUUUUGCUAAAUUGAAACACGACUGUACACAGCUCCUAAACUGGAGUGGUCAAUCCCAUCUUGACACACGCACCGACAAGUCAAGUACUUGACUACACCCAGCAGCCUUCCAUCAUUGAAUUAGAAAUUCAGGUAGUCCAGUGCCUAAGUGCAAUGAGUUGCUUGCAAGUCACCGUGGCGGUCUCAGAUCGGAGGGACAUUUAUACCCAUAUCCCAUCGGAGCAAAUCUUGACAGCAGAAAUAGCUCUGGAGUUGGUCACGUUCAGUGCAGAUGUACCAUUACAUCUCACCUGUAUGCCAUACCAGUGUCUCCACACUCUUUGGUUAUGAGGACAACCAACCCAUAUGGCACACAAUGACCUAUGCUCGAUAAACGUUAUCGUCCUUGGUAACAACGUAUCAUUUGGUCGCG